AGAACACCCGCUGAACUUAAGCAUAUCAGUAAGCGGAGGAAAAGAAACUAACUAGGAUUACCUCAGUAGCGGCGAGUGAAGAGGUAACAGCCCAAGAUGUUAAUCGGCCGUAAGGUUGAAUUGUAAUCUAUAGGGACUCCUGGAAGAAACCUAUGAGUCAUAAGUUCCUUGGAAAAGGAUACCAUAGAGGGUGAUAGUCCCGUCUUUGGAUUCAUAGGUUCGUACAGGUGUUUUCUAAGAGUCGGGUAGUUUGGGAAUGCUGCCCUAAUUAGGAGAUAUACUUCUUCUAAGGCUAAAUAUUUAUAAGGAGACCGAUAGCAUACAAGUACUGCGAAGGAAAGGUGAAAAGAACUUCUGUUAGAAGAGUGAAAUAGACCUGAAACCAAAUGCUUACAAUCAGUUAGAGGGAGCAUGACUCCUGAUAACGUACCUUUUGCAUAAUGAGUCAGCGAGUUAUAUUAUAUGCGAGUUUAAGUUGUUAAACGGAGGCGAGACGAAAGUGAGUCUUAAUAGGGCGAACGAUUAGCAUGUAGAUAUAGAACCCG
This 545-nucleotide ribosomal RNA is filed under the name uncultured eukaryote. RNAcentral's name for it is "eukaryotic LSU rRNA". It matches the Rfam family "Bacterial large subunit ribosomal RNA", at positions 178 to 717 of the family's 2925-position model. The record is from RNAcentral.